UGGGCAGUAUCCAAGACGCGAACUGCACCUUGAGUAAAUCAAUAAAAUGUUUGUCUGCCUUGAUCCAUAGUGACAGGGACAGAGGG
This 86-nucleotide non-coding RNA is filed under the name Bacillus smithii. RNAcentral's name for it is "pan motif". It matches the Rfam family "pan motif". Lineage: Bacteria; Bacillati; Bacillota; Bacilli; Caryophanales; Bacillaceae. The record is from RNAcentral.